This 899-nucleotide ribosomal RNA is filed under the name uncultured organism. Its description in RNAcentral is "bacterial SSU rRNA". It matches the Rfam family "Bacterial small subunit ribosomal RNA", at positions 462 to 1377 of the family's 1533-position model. The record is from RNAcentral.
AUGCGGUAUGACGGUACCCUUUCGAAUAAGAGGUUGCUAACUCUGUGCCAGCAGCAGCGGUAAUACAGAGACCUCGAGCGUUAUCCGGAUUUACUGGGCGUAAAGCGUCUGUAGGGGGUUUGUUAAGUUCCAAGUAAAAUCUUAAGGCUCAACUUUAAGUUCGCUUGGAAAACUAAUAAACUGGAGUCCAGCAGAGGUGCAUGGAACUUGCGGUGUAGGAGUGAAAUCCGUUGAUAUCGCAAGGAACACCAAAGGCGAAGGCAUUGCACUGGGCUGGUACUGACCCUGAGAGACGAAAGCGUGGGGAGCAAAACGGAUUAGAUACCCGUGUAGUCCACGCCGUAAACGAUGGAUACUAGAUGUUCGGGGAUUCGACCCCCUGGGUGUCACAGCUAACGCGUUAAGUAUCCCGCCUGGGAAGUACGGCCGCAAGGCUAAAACUCAAAGGAAUAGACGGGGAUCCGCACAAGCGGUGGAGCGUCUGGUUUAAUUUGAUAGUAAGCAAUGGACCUCACCAAGGUUUGACAUCCUAUGACAACCCUGGAAACAGGGCUUCCUUCGGGCAUAGUGACAGGUGCUGCAUGGUCGUCGUCAGUUCGUGCCGUGAGGUGUUCCGUUAAGUCGGGAAACGAACGAAACCCUCGUCGCAUGUUACAAAUUUCAUGCGAGACUGCCCGGGUCAACCGGGAGGAAGGCGGGGAUGACGUCAGAUCAGCAUGGCCCUUAUACCUUGGGCUACACAGGCGCUACAAUGGCCGGUACAAAGGGUUGCAAAACCGCGAGGUGAAGCUAAUCCCAUAAAGCCGGUCCAAGUUCGGAUUGGAGGCUGCAACUCGCCUCCAUGAAGUUGGAAUCGCUAGUAAUCGUGGAUCAGCCAUACCACGGUGAUACGUUCCCGG